RNAcentral lists this long non-coding RNA (327 nucleotides) under Suricata suricatta (meerkat). Its description in RNAcentral is "lncRNA (ENSSSUG00005010227.1)". The record is from RNAcentral. Lineage: Eukaryota; Metazoa; Chordata; Mammalia; Carnivora; Herpestidae.
GCAGCCGGUCUGAGCUGACCCACAGACUCGUAAAAACCAACAGGACCUCUCAUCACCCUCGCCUGGGAUACCCAAACUCUUGGACCAAAGGUGCAAGGUCUUGCAUAUCAAGGAUCCUGCUGCUUUCUUGGGGACCAAGAAAUUGGGUUUUUGUCUCUACACUUACUCUGGCAAUCCAUGAGGUUUAAUGAAUUACAUGGGGACACGGGACAUGUAAAAACAGAGGCAGGCACUCAGUCUCGGACCAGUCAACCACGGAGUUGGAAUUCAGAGCUGGGCUAUACCAACAUGACACCCUUUAUCUUGGGACAGCAUCAUGAAAUCUAG